AUGAUAAAAAGAUAUUUCUCCACAGCGCUACGGAUGCAGACGCAUUCAAAGGCUUCUUCUCUCGCCAGCUCCUCUACAGAAUCACUCUUAAUGAAAGCUUCAGCUCCAGCUCUCCAAGCCCAGAUUCAGUCGCAGCCGUCUAACCCUCGGCCUGCAAACCAAGCGGUGGCCAUCGCUUUCGAAAAAUCAGAAGAAAUUAAUUUCCUCUCUGGAGGAGACGACAUUCCAGUCGUAAGGCCUUCCUGUCAUCUGCGGGCCAUGAGCGUCUCACAGGGUCGUAAACGGCUUGGAGGGGAAGAAGAAUUGGCCAAGAAUCAGAGAGAAGAUUCAACCUAGAGCUGAGCAACUAAAUGCCAGAAGAAACAAAGAAGAGAAAGAAGAGAAUGAGAGUUUACACACACAGGGAACGUCAGGUUUCUCUCACCUGCAGCAGGACCAGAUGCUUUCAGGAUAAACCCCUUUAAACCCGCUUUCAUCAUCCCUUCAGUCACAGAUGGCUGUUUACACCUGUAUUACCUGCUUUGUGCAUGACUGGGUGGAUGUAAAGGAGAAUAUCUGUGGCUGCAAACAUCAGUGUGUCAAUGCAAUGUGUGUAAAAUAAAAGUUGCUUAAAUAUCA
Cyprinus carpio (common carp) is the source of this 618-nucleotide long non-coding RNA. The record is from Ensembl. Lineage: Eukaryota; Metazoa; Chordata; Actinopteri; Cypriniformes; Cyprinidae.